Molecule: long non-coding RNA, 901 nt
Filed under: Dermacentor andersoni
Lineage: Eukaryota; Metazoa; Arthropoda; Arachnida; Ixodida; Ixodidae
Description: uncharacterized LOC126533061
Source: RNAcentral
UUGCUGUGAGCACUCCGCAUGAUCGCUCCUUUGGACGUUCGUUGGGUUCGUAGCACAUGUAAGGUUGGUGAAGACGCAUGGAAAUGUGAGCUUACAUGCCUCAAGUAAUAAGGUAUUGUAUUGCAUUCUAUUGUAUUGCAAUAUAGUCCUGCCGGUGUGCUCACAGUAACUUUAUUGCUAUUGAUUAAAUCGUUCCAGCCAUCACUGUUCGCGUGCUUGCACAGUUAAGCCUAGGCGUGUUGUGCGAGAGACCUAGGCUGGUUGUGCUAUUUCUAAAGUUAAAAGACGUUCUAGCGCUAAAGAACUACAAGCAGAUUUACAAGAAGCGUAUGAUGUGUUCUGUAGUAUUGCAAAUCUGCAGAUUUAAAAAAAAAAAGCGGAUGAUGUGUUCUGUAGUAUGGCAAAUCUUAUUCUAUUUCAGGUCCGGUGGCAAAGAUGCUGCGUUUCCGAUCCGACCCGGUUCGUAUUGUUGUGAGCUUUAGUUCUUUCAUAUAUAUUUGUGAUGACUUCAAGAAACCCUCGAUGAUUCAGUGAGAGUAAAGUUUAACUGAUUUAAUGAGGCUGAUAAUCGCGCCUGAGCAUUCCAACGACCGUCAUCGGACGACGGAGACAUUGAAAAACAUUUCGCCCUCUCAUCUUGUAGGUUGUACAGUCGCGCAAUUCCCCAGCUGUCACCACUGUUCUAGAAGCAACAGGUGUAAAAAGCAUCGAAGUUUAUGAAGCAAUCUCUGCGCUCGAGAACCCAUUAAGAGGCGUUUGCCUACUAAAUGCAGUUGUUCGAACAUGUGUGCGGAUGCUAUACCAUGUGGGAAACAUUGGUAAGUAUUAUGUCGUUGGUAGAAAUCCAAGGACAUUCAACGCUUUCGUCGUUUGAUUGUAAUAAAGCAUUUCUUUCUUACCU